GACGAACGCUGGCGGCGUGCUUAACACAUGCAAGUCGAACGAUGAAGCUGGAGCUUGCUCCGGUGGAUUAGUGGCGAACGGGUGAGUAACACGUGAGUAACCUGCCCUUGACUCUGGGAUAACUGCUAGAAAUGGUAGCUAAUACCGGAUACGACCCUCGGCGGCAUCGCCAGGGGGUGGAAAGAAUUUCGGUCAAGGAUGGACUCGCGGCCUAUCAGCUAGUUGGUGAGGUAACGGCUCACCAAGGCGACGACGGGUAGCCGGCCUGAGAGGGUGACCGGCCACACUGGGACUGAGACACGGCCCAGACUCCUACGGGAGGCAGCAGUGGGGAAUAUUGCACAAUGGGCGCAAGCCUGAUGCAGCAACGCCGCGUGAGGGAUGACGGCCUUCGGGUUGUAAACCUCUUUUAGUAGGGAAGAAGCGAAAGUGACGGUACCUGCAGAAAAAGCACCGGCUAACUACGUGCCAGCCGCCGCCGUAA
RNAcentral lists this ribosomal RNA (484 nucleotides) under uncultured bacterium. RNAcentral's name for it is "partial 16S ribosomal RNA". It matches the Rfam family "Bacterial small subunit ribosomal RNA", at positions 28 to 523 of the family's 1533-position model. The record is from RNAcentral.